GAUGAACGCUAGCUACAGGCUUAACACAUGCAAGUCGAGGGGAAACGAUAGAGAAAGCUUGCUUUUCUAGGCGUCGACCGGCGCACGGGUGAGUAACGCGUAUCCAACCUGCCCAUCACUUGGGGAUAACCUUGCGAAAGUAAGACUAAUACCCAAUGACGUCUCUAGAAGACAUCUGAAGGAGAUUAAAGAUUUAUCGGUGAUGGAUGGGGAUGCGUCUGAUUAGCUUGUUGGCGGGGUAACGGCCCACCUAGCCAACGAUGGAUAGGGGUUCUGAGAGGAAGGUCCCCCACAUUGGAACUGAGACACGGUCCAAACUCCUACGGGAGGCAGCAGUGAGGAAUAUUGGUCAAUGGACGAGAGUCUGAACCAGCCAAGUAGCGUGAAGGAUGAAGGUCCUACGGAUUGUAAACUUCUUUUAUAAGGGAAUAAACCCUCCCACGUGUGGGAGCUUGUAUGUACCUUAUGAAUAAGCAUCGGCUAACUCCGUG
Molecule: ribosomal RNA, 491 nt
Filed under: uncultured bacterium
Lineage: Bacteria
Description: bacterial SSU rRNA
Rfam family: Bacterial small subunit ribosomal RNA
Source: RNAcentral